GAGGGACCGCAGUAGAGAUCGAGUCAAGAGCUGCCCGGAAAGCGCUCAGAGUUGGGGUGUCAAGGAGGCCUGUCAAAGGACAAAAGAUGAGAUUACUGGGCGGCAGGGUGCCCCAAACGUCCUAGGAACUGCGCCUCCGCGCUUCCUGUUAGCUUGCCGCCAAGUUUUUCUAGAGGAGUCGCUCCUUUUGGCAGGAGUGGCCUGUAGGUAUUUGUCUUCAGGUGAAACAGGAACAAAUGUAGGUCUACUGGGUUCUUGGCACAGUACCAUAUGGACCUGGACAAAGCAUUGUUAAGUUACAGAUUCCAUAUUGGAGAUCUUUGAUCACAGGAAACCACCAGGAAAAACAAACAAAUGGUAAGAUUCACGUUUCUUUUGGGACUAUUGUGUAUGAGGCAAAAUGUUUGCCAACAUUUUUUUUUCAUACAACACAUAUAUUGAGCAUCCACUGCUGUGCUCCACUCCGGCCAUGUAACGAUGAGUAAAAACAGAUAAAACCCCUGCUCAUAAAGCUAAUAGUUUAGUGUAACAGAUCACCAGUAACCAGAUAACCACACAGAAAUAUACAAAUGCAAAUUUAAC
Molecule: long non-coding RNA, 582 nt
Filed under: Ursus maritimus (polar bear)
Lineage: Eukaryota; Metazoa; Chordata; Mammalia; Carnivora; Ursidae
Description: lncRNA (ENSUMAG00000021376.1)
Source: RNAcentral